Numida meleagris (helmeted guineafowl) is the source of this 1878-nucleotide long non-coding RNA. RefSeq lists it as uncharacterized. Lineage: Eukaryota; Metazoa; Chordata; Aves; Galliformes; Numididae. The transcript has 3 exons. The record is from RefSeq and is a predicted model, not a curated record.
CCUAACAGUUCUUCAUUAGCCACUACAUGAGCACUGAAACAUACACUCCAACAUAGUGCCCAAGUUUUGAGAACACUGGCUGAGAGGUGAACACCAAGGUGUGAAUAUUCAGUUGCGUACUUAACAGCACACAGAAGACCCAUUGACAGACCAACCAGACUGAAAGGCAGCUACAGUCUGAGGAAGAUCAGAGGUUUAAAUUUGUUUCGCAAUGGUAAGACCUGCAAAAUGAAAUGAUUCAGAUCCAAGAUAAAGCAUUACAUCGUGUUUCAUACUCAAAGCAUAAACAGACUGUUGAGCAAGAAAGGACUGUUUACUUUUUAGUGUUGUUUUCCUUUUCUUACAAUGAAAUAGAAAUGUAAUAGUUAUAGGAAAUUUUAACCUAAUUAUGUAUUUUCCAAAAAUGCAUCGCUAGAACAUUUUAGGAUGACAGUUUGUAAGAAAGUAAGCCAGAACUGUGCUUUUGAAGCAACAAUUUUUUAUGCAGGGCAGAGUUUUGUGGAUGCAUCCAUCCAAGUUUCCAAACACAUUUUGCCUACGGGGAAUCGAGAAUGCAAAAUGCCUCUAGGAGCAUUAGAAAAGUGCCACAAUUCUAAGGGACAAAGUGGCUAAAAUAUAGUCUUUCCCUUUUUUGUCUUACCAAGUUUCGACCUCAAUUUUCGAGGAUUUCUAUGGGCCUCCACAGUAUCAGAUACAAAAUCCUCCUUAGAGAAUCAGUACUAAAGCUGAACUUUUCAAAUACUUAUUUUCCUUUAAAUUCAAGUUCACAUCAACUGAAACAGUUUACGGCUGUAGAUACCUCUGCAAGCUCUUCUGGUGAGGGUUUCAGUGCUCCUGCUAUUGCUUGCACCUCACCCUCCAGCAAUACCAAUCAUACCAAAGGCAAUUUCCAAGUCCAGAGCAGAAGCGUUGUGGCUAGAUAACCCUGUGCAACACACAUCUGAGCUGAAAUACAUCAUGUGAAAAAACUAUGAACAGGUGAACACAUAGCAUAGCUACUCUUCAAGCUUUAUUCUUUGUAAAGGAAUACAAGGACGUUGAAAGACUUUUAUAAUCUCCAGAAAGACUAAGAAAUAAUAGUUAAUAGUAUACAUUUAAGAAUAAGAAAGAUUUCUUGUUUAUUAAUGCAAGUGAAUAUCCGUCUCUGAUUAUAAGACUUCUGCACAUUGCUUCUCUCAAGCAUUUUCUGGUUUCUAUAUUUCUUUAUGACAUCAAUAGAAACCAUGGAACUAAUGAGCAUCCCAGCAACUCAGUUCCAGGAUCCACUGAAACACAUUUGAGAUAGCUAUGCGGAUGUUGCAGUUGCCAGUUCAUCCCAUAUGCAGCCACACUUGUUGGCUUCAACACAUACUAGAGCAAUUCAUGACAUGAUAGUCAAGGAUGGCAGCACCAGAAGUCAAAACAAGAGUUGAAAUGCUGCUUAAGACAGGAGACCUGAGAUCUAUAGAGAGGCACCGGGAGCACUGAGGAGACAGGCAGCUGGGGACACCGACGCUCUCGGAAGCCGCACUGCACGCCGGAGUGCAGCCCUGAGGGACUGCAGCCCAAGGGAUGACCCACACUGGGCACAGCCAUGAGGGGCUGCGGCCUGUGAGCAACCCUGGUAGACCGAACUGGUUACAGGCAACCUCAUCCUCAGAGGAAUGGAAAAGGACCAAAGGUGACGUGGGGAAAACAAGGGAAGUCGGGACUAGGAGGGGGAUGGGAGCAGGGAGAUGUAUUUGACUAAAGUUGAGUCUGGAGACUGGAGAAUAAACACAUUCAAGCGUUUAAUUAUUUGCUUUCUUUUUUUUCCCCCCCUGAAUAUCCAAAUAAGCAAACAGAAGUUUAUGUUAAUUAGUAGUACAUUAAAUCAAGUUAAAAUUCUUAAAGUCAAGA